RNAcentral lists this ribosomal RNA (319 nucleotides) under uncultured bacterium. RNAcentral's name for it is "bacterial SSU rRNA". It matches the Rfam family "Bacterial small subunit ribosomal RNA", at positions 43 to 375 of the family's 1533-position model. The record is from RNAcentral.
UCAGGCCUAACACAUGCAAGUCGAGCGGGGUUUUCGGACCUAGCGGCGGACGGGUGAGUAAUGCGUAGGAAGCUACCCGAUAGAGGGGGAUACCAGUUGGAAACGACUGUUAAUACCGCAUAAUGUCUACGGACCAAAGUGUGGGACCUUCGGGCCACAUGCUAUCGGAUGCGCCUACGUGGGAUUAGCUAGUUGGUGAGGUAAUGGCUCACCAAGGCGACGAUCUCUAGCUGGUUUGAGAGGAUGAUCAGCCACACUGGAACUGAGACACGGUCCAGACUCCUACGGGAGGCAGCAGUGGGGAAUAUUGGACAAUGGG